RNAcentral lists this ribosomal RNA (253 nucleotides) under uncultured bacterium. RNAcentral describes it as "partial 16S ribosomal RNA". It matches the Rfam family "Bacterial small subunit ribosomal RNA", at positions 524 to 776 of the family's 1533-position model. The record is from RNAcentral.
UACAGAGGUCUCAAGCGUUGUUCGGAUUCAUUGGGCGUAAAGGGUGCGUAGGCGGCGCGGUAAGUCGGGUGUGAAAUCUCGGAGCUUAACUCCGAAGCUGCAUUCGAUACUGCCGUGCUUGAGGACUGGAGAGGAGACUGGAAUUCAUGGUGUAGCAGUGAAAUGCGUAGAGAUCAUGAGGAAGACCAGUGGCGAAGGCGGGUCUCUGGAACGCAACUGACGCUGAGACGCGAAAGCGUGGGGAGCAAACAGG